UGAAGGUUCAAAAUGUGCAAACAAAUUUUUGCGUUGUUAACUUUUGUGUUACUUGCUAUUGUUUUGUAGUUUAGUUAUUAUCAAUGUGUUAUAGAACAUCAUUAGUUAAUUAUGGUAGGGCCAUAGACGAGCAUUUUCAUUCCCUGAAGGGGAUAACUAAUUCCACCUUUUUCUUUCUUUUUUAAUCUCAUUAAACAUCCAGAUAAGAGGUAACUUUUAUUUCAUUCCAUUUUCUUUCUUAUCCCGUCUUAGUGGUAGCUUGCAAAAUUUAGAUGCCCAGCCCUUGGCAGUAUUUGGGAUUAAUUUUCAUUUGGAUCUUACAAAGGUUUUACAUAGGUGAUUCAGUGUACUACUAAGGGAGAGAUUGUCGGUUGACUUGUAUCAAACAUUGGCUAAUGUUUAUGUGCACUGUAUGUUUUUUCCUCAAGUUAUAUGAGUAUUAUCCUGAAAAUGUGUAUAACUAGAAGUUACAUCCCUGUUCAAAUGUCGCACUUGAUAUGAUUGCUAUAUAUUUCUCUAGUUUGUGGCUCUUCUUUUCAGAUAAACUUCUUCAUUAUUUUGGUUAUCUUAU
RNAcentral lists this unclassified non-coding RNA (571 nucleotides) under Hevea brasiliensis (rubber tree). The record is from RNAcentral. Lineage: Eukaryota; Viridiplantae; Streptophyta; Magnoliopsida; Malpighiales; Euphorbiaceae.